UACGUAGGGGGCUAGCGUUGUCCGGAUUUAUUGGGCGUAAAGAGCGUGUAGGCGGCCAGGUAGGUCUGGUGUGAAAACUCGAGGCUUAACCUCGAGAUAUCAUCGGAAACCAUUUGGCUAGAGUCCGGAAGAGGAGAGUGGAAUUCCUGGUGUAGCGGUGAAAUGCGCAGAUAUCAGGAAGAACACCAAUGGCGAAAGCAGCUCUCUGGGACGGUACUGACGCUGAGACGCGAAAGCGUGGGGAGCGAACAGG
Molecule: ribosomal RNA, 253 nt
Filed under: uncultured bacterium
Lineage: Bacteria
Description: partial 16S ribosomal RNA
Rfam family: Bacterial small subunit ribosomal RNA
Source: RNAcentral